AGUUCGAUUCUCUGGCUCAGAUUGAACGCUGGCGGGAUGCUUUACACAUGCAAGUCGAACGGCAGCACGGACUUCGGUCUGGUGGCGAGUGGCGAACGGGUGAGUAAUGUAUCGGAACGUGCCUAGUAGCGGGGGAUAACUACGCGAAAGCGUAGCCAAUACCGCAUACGACCGCAAAGCGGGGAUCUUCGGGGCCUCGCACUAUUAGAGCGGCCGAUAUCGGAUUAGCUAGUUGGUGGGGUAACGGCUCACCAAGGCGACGAUCCGUAGCUGGUUUGAGAGGACGACCAGCCACACCUGGGACUGAGACACGGCCCAGACUCCUACGGGAGGCAGCAGUGGGGAAUUUUGACAAUGGGGGAAACCCUGAUCCAGCCAUCCCGCGUGUGCGAUGAAGGCCUUCGGGUUGUAAAGCACUUUUGGCAGGAAAGAAACGGCACGGAUAAUACCCCGUGCAACUGACGGUACCUGCAGAAUAAGCACCGGCUAACCGACGGCAACGGCGCAGCCGCGGUAAUACGUAGGUGCAAGCGUUAAUCGGAAUUACUGGGCGCAAGCGUGCGCAGGCGGUUCGGAAAGAAAGAUGUGAAAUCCCAGAGCUUAACUUUGGAACUGCAUUUUUAACUACCGAGCUAGAGUGUGUCAGAGGGAGGUGGAAUUCCGCGUGUAGCAGUGAAAUGCGUAGAUAUGGAGAAACCGCUGAUGGCGAAGGCAGCCUCCUGGGGAUAACACUGACGCUCAUGCACGAAAAGCGUGUGAGCAAACAGGAUUAGAUACCCUGGUAGUCCACGCCCUAAACGAUGUCACUAUUGUUGGGGCUCUCGGGUCGAGUGGUGCUAACGCGUGAAGCUGGACCGCCUGGGGAGUACGGUCGCAAGAUUAAAACUCAAAGGAAUUGACGGGACCUGCACUGAAGCGGUGGAUGAUGUGGAUUAAUUCGAUGCAACGCGAAAAACUUACCUACCCUUUUUGACAUGUCUGGAAUCCCGAAGAGAUUCGGUGUGGGCGCUCGCAAGAGAACCGGAACACAGGUGCUGCAUGGCUGUCGUCAGUUCAAACAGAGAGUUGGGUUAAGUCCCGCAACGAGCGCAACCCUUGUCAUUAUUGCUACGAAAGGGCACUCUAACAGACUGCCGGUGACAAACCGGAGGAAGGUGGGGAUGACGCCAAGUCCUCAUGGCCCUUAUGGGUAGGGCUUUCACACGUCAUACAAUGGUCGGGACAGAGGGUCGCCAACCCGCGAGGGGGAGCCAAUCCCAGAAACCCGAUCGUAGUCCGGAUCGCAGUCUGCAACUCGACUGCGUGAAGUCGGAAUCGCUAGUAAUCGCGGAUCAGCAUGUCGCGGUGAAUACGUUCCCGGGUCUUGUACACACCGCCCGUCACACCAUGGGAGGUUACCAGAAGUAGUUAGCCUAACUGUAAGGAGGGCGAUUACCAUGGUAGGAUUCAUGACUGGGGUGAAGUCGUAACAAGGUAA
Molecule: ribosomal RNA, 1477 nt
Filed under: uncultured Bordetella sp.
Lineage: Bacteria; Pseudomonadati; Pseudomonadota; Betaproteobacteria; Burkholderiales; Alcaligenaceae
Description: partial 16S-23S ribosomal RNA intergenic spacer
Rfam family: Bacterial small subunit ribosomal RNA
Source: RNAcentral